AUGAAAACAAAUGGUUGGAAGGAAAAAUUAUUAUCCGUUGGAGGGAAGAAAAUUCUCCUCAAGUCUGGUGUUCAAGCUAUUCCUACGUAUAAAUUAUCGGUCUUUAAAAUUCCUAAAAAGAUUUAUAAAGAAAUUAUUGAUGCGAUGUUGCAUUUUUUUUGGGGAGAUGAGGACAACCGAAGGAGGAUUCAUUGGAUGGCUUGGUAAAAAAUAUGUGUCCCAACGAAUCAAGGAGGCAUGGCUUUUUUAUGAUAUUCAUUGUCUCAGCCCGGCUAUGCUGGCAAACAGGCUUUAUGCCUUCUCGAGAACCCUGAGUCUUUAUGUGCUACUGUUUUGAGAGUUAAGUACUUUCCUAAUGUCGAUUUACUGAAUACAAAGUUAAAAAGGCUCCUCGUUUAG
RNAcentral lists this ribosomal RNA (399 nucleotides) under Triticum aestivum (bread wheat). RNAcentral's name for it is "partial small subunit ribosomal RNA". Lineage: Eukaryota; Viridiplantae; Streptophyta; Magnoliopsida; Poales; Poaceae. The record is from RNAcentral.